This 29-nucleotide small RNA is filed under the name Bombyx mori (domestic silkworm). RNAcentral describes it as "ovarian small RNA-38359". Lineage: Eukaryota; Metazoa; Arthropoda; Insecta; Lepidoptera; Bombycidae. The record is from RNAcentral.
UUUCUGCUCCUUCCAGGCACAGGGCUGCA